UGCUUGCAGAUGACUGAUUAGUAGCGAACGGGUGAGUAACACGUGGGAAAUCUACCCAUGAGUGGGGAAUAACAUUCGGAAACGGAUGCUAAUACCGCAUAAGUUCUUUGACCUCCUGGUCUUUGAAUAAAAGACGGCCUUUGUGCUGUCUCUCAUGGAUGAUCCCGCGGCGUAUUAGUUAGUUGGUGAGGUAAUGGCUCACCAAGACCAUGAUACGUAGCCGACCUGAGAGGGUGAUCGGCCACACUGGGACUGAGAACGGCCCAGACUCCUACGGGAGGCAGCAGUAGGGAAUCUUCCACAAUGGGCGAAAGCCUGAUGGAGCAAUGCCGCGUGAAUGAAGAAGGUCUUCGGAUCGUAAAGUUCUGUUAUUAGAGAAGAAAAAAUCAAGGCGUAACUAUCUUGGUUUUGACGGUACCUAACCAGAAAGUCACGGCUAACUACGUGCCAGCAGCCGCGGUAAUACGUAGGUGACGAGCGUUGUCCGGAAUUAUUGGGCGUAAAGGGAGCGCAGGCGGUUGGAACAGUCUGAUGUGAAAGCCCACGGCUUAACCGUGGAAGGUCAUUGGAAACUGUCCAACUUGAAUACAGAAGAGGUAAGUGGAAUUCCAUGUGUAGCGGUGAAAUGCGUAGAUAUAUGGAGGAACACCAGUGGCGAAGGCGACUUACUGGUCU
This 675-nucleotide ribosomal RNA is filed under the name uncultured bacterium. RNAcentral's name for it is "bacterial SSU rRNA". It matches the Rfam family "Bacterial small subunit ribosomal RNA", at positions 77 to 735 of the family's 1533-position model. The record is from RNAcentral.